This is a long non-coding RNA of Papilio xuthus (Asian swallowtail), 385 nucleotides long. RefSeq lists it as uncharacterized. Lineage: Eukaryota; Metazoa; Arthropoda; Insecta; Lepidoptera; Papilionidae. The transcript has 2 exons. The record is from RefSeq and is a predicted model, not a curated record.
CUUUUUCUGUCUGCCUACCUUUCUACUCCAUUACGGUUUUCCACCAUUUUCCAAUUUCCACAAAGGCAUUUUACUUAGCGUUCACUUUGUACGUUUCGAGAGCGAGACAAUCAUAGUUUAAUCAUAUUGCGACUGGUUUUAUCUUAAUUAUAAAUAUUUAAUAUCUGUUCAACAGAUAGCGAAAAAUACUGAAAUACGAUCCAGUUUAGUUCAUUUCACGCUCAAACACCUACAGCGAGUAGUGUUUAACGUACAAAAUAUCUGUUAUAAGCAAUAUUACAAAUGUACUACAAUUGUAUUGAUACGGCAUUUUAAGGACAAAUAGUGAAUAGUGCAUGUAUAGAUUCUUAGGUCUGCAACGAAGCCAAAGAAAAAAUAAUUUAAG